RNAcentral lists this ribosomal RNA (252 nucleotides) under uncultured bacterium. Its description in RNAcentral is "partial 16S ribosomal RNA". It matches the Rfam family "Bacterial small subunit ribosomal RNA", at positions 524 to 776 of the family's 1533-position model. The record is from RNAcentral.
UACAGAGGUCCCGAGCGUUGUUCGGAUUCACUGGGCGUAAAGGGUGCGUAGGUGGCUGGGAAAGUUUGAUGUGAAAGCUCAGGGCUUAACCCUGAAAUGGCAUUGAAUACUGCCUGGCUGGAGGUUUGGAGGGGGACUGGAAUUCUUGGUGUAGCAGUGAAAUGCGUAGAUAUCAAGAGGAACACCAGUGGCGAAGGCGGGUCUCUGGACAGUUCCUGACGCUGAGGCACGAAGGCCAGGGGAGCAAACGGG